Molecule: ribosomal RNA, 562 nt
Filed under: Hypoxylon cf. subgilvum BCC 21050
Lineage: Eukaryota; Fungi; Ascomycota; Sordariomycetes; Xylariales; Hypoxylaceae
Description: eukaryotic LSU rRNA
Rfam family: Eukaryotic large subunit ribosomal RNA
Source: RNAcentral
AAACCAACAGGGAUUGCCCUAGUAACGGCGAGUGAAGCGGCAACAGCUCAAAUUUGAAAUCUGGCCCUAGCGGUCCGAGUUGUAAUUUGUAGAGGAUGCUUUUGGUGAGGUGCCUUCCGAGUUCCCUGGAACGGGACGCCAGAGAGGGUGAGAGCCCCGUACGGUUGGCCGCCGAACCUAUAUAUAGCUCCUUCGACGAGUCGAGUAGUUUGGGAAUGCUGCUCUAAAUGGGAGGUAAAUUUCUUCUAAAGCUAAAUACCGGCCAGAGACCGAUAGCGCACAAGUAGAGUGAUCGAAAGAUGAAAAGCACUUUGAAAAGAGGGUUAAAUAGCACGUGAAAUUGUUGAAAGGGAAGCGUUUGCGACCAGACUUUUUCUCGGCGGAUCAUCCGGUGUUCUCACCGGUGCACUCCGCCGGGUUUAGGCCAGCAUCGGUUUUCUUAGGGGGAUAAAGGCCUUGGGAACGUAGCUCUUUAGGGAGUGUUAUAGCCCCUGGCGUAAUACCCUUCGGGGGACCGAGGAUCGCGCUCUGCAAGGAUGCUGGCGUAAUGGUCGUCAACGAC